AGCCUAACACAUGCAGUCGAACGGCAGCACAGUAAGAGCUUGCUCUUAUGGGUGGCGAGUGGCGGACGGGUGAGGAAUACAUCGGAAUCUACCUUUUCGUGGGGGAUAACGUAGGGAAACUUACGCUAAUACCGCAUACGACCUUCGGGUGAAAGCAGGGGACCUUCGGGCCUUGCGCGGAUAGAUGAGCCGAUGUCGGAUUAGCUAGUUGGCGGGGUAAAGGCCCACCAAGGCGACGAUCCGUAGCUGGUCUGAGAGGAUGAUCAGCCACACUGGAACUGAGACACGGUCCAGACUCCUACGGGAGGCAGCAGUGGGGAAUAUUGGACAAUGGGCGCAAGCCUGAUCCAGCCAUACCGCGUGGGUGAAGAAGGCCUUCGGGUUGUAAAGCCCUUUUGUUGGGAAAGAAAAGCAGUCGAUUAAUACUCGGUUGUUCUGACGGUACCCAAAGAAUAAGCACCGGCUAACUUCGUGCCAGCAGCCGCGGUAAUACGAAGGGUGCAAGCGUUACUCGGAAUUACUGGGCGUAAAGCGUGCGUAGGUGGUUGUUUAAGUCUGUUGUGAAAGCCCUGGGCUCAACCUGGGAAUUGCAGUGGAUACUGGGCGACUAGAGUGUGGUAGAGGGUAGUGGAAUUCCCGGUGUAGCAGUGAAAUGCGUAGAGAUCGGGAGGAACAUCCAUGGCGAAGGCAGCUACCUGGACCAACACUGACACUGAGGCACGAAAGCGUGGGGAGCAAACAGGAUUAGAUACCCUGGUAGUCCACGCCCUAAACGAUGCGAACUGGAUGUUGGGUGCAAUUUGGCACGCAGUAUCGAAGCUAACGCGUUAAGUUCGCCGCCUGGGGAGUACGGUCGCAAGACUGAAACUCAAAGGAAUUGACGGGGGCCCGCACAAGCGGUGGAGUAUGUGGUUUAAUUCGAUGCAACGCGAAGAACCUUACCUGGUCUUGACAUGUCGAGAACUUUCCAGAGAUGGAUUGGUGCCUUCGGGAACUCGAAACAGGUGCUGCAUGGCUGUCGUCACCUCCUGUCCUGAGAUGUUGGGUUAAGUCCCGCACGACCCCACCCUUGUCCUUAGUUGCCAGCCCGUAAUGGUGGGAACUCUAAGGAAACCGCGGUGACAACCGAAGGAAGGUGGGGAUGACUCCAGUCUUCGGGGCCUUUCCAACAAGGCUACC
Molecule: ribosomal RNA, 1179 nt
Filed under: Stenotrophomonas rhizophila
Lineage: Bacteria; Pseudomonadati; Pseudomonadota; Gammaproteobacteria; Lysobacterales; Lysobacteraceae
Description: bacterial SSU rRNA
Rfam family: Bacterial small subunit ribosomal RNA
Source: RNAcentral